RNAcentral lists this ribosomal RNA (253 nucleotides) under uncultured bacterium. RNAcentral's name for it is "partial 16S ribosomal RNA". It matches the Rfam family "Bacterial small subunit ribosomal RNA", at positions 524 to 776 of the family's 1533-position model. The record is from RNAcentral.
GACGGAGGGUGCUAGCGUUGUUCGGAAUUACUGGGCGUAAAGGGCGCGUAGGCGGUUUUUUAAGUGAGGCGUGAAAGCCCUGGGCUUAACCCAGGAGGUGCGUUUCAGACUGGAAGACUUGAGGACGAGAGAGGAAAGUGGAAUUCCUAGUGUAGAGGUGAAAUUCGUAGAUAUUAGGAAGAACACCAGUGGCGAAGGCGACUUUCUGGCUCGUAACUGACGCUGAGGCGCGAAAGCGUGGGGAGCAAACAGG